AUGCAAGUCGAACGAUGAAGCCCUUCGGGGUGGAUUAGUGGCGAACGGGUGAGUAACACGUGGGCAAUCUGCCCUUCACUCUGGGACAAGCCCUGGAAACGGGGUCUAAUACCGGAUAAUACUCCUGCCUGCAUGGGUGGGGGUUGAAAGCUCCGGCGGUGAAGGAUGAGCCCGCGGCCUAUCAGCUUGUUGGUGGGGUAAUGGCCCACCAAGGCGACGACGGGUAGCCGGCCUGAGAGGGCGACCGGCCACACUGGGACUGAGACACGGCCCAGACUCCUACGGGAGGCAGCAGUGGGGAAUAUUGCACAAUGGGCGAAAGCCUGAUGCAGCGACGCCGCGUGAGGGAUGACGGCCUUCGGGUUGUAAACCUCUUUCAGCAGGGAAGAAGCGAAAGUGACGGUACCUGCAGAAGAAGCGCCGGCUAACUACGUGCCAGCAGCCGCGGUAAU
This 452-nucleotide ribosomal RNA is filed under the name Streptomyces avidinii. Its description in RNAcentral is "bacterial SSU rRNA". It matches the Rfam family "Bacterial small subunit ribosomal RNA", at positions 55 to 524 of the family's 1533-position model. The record is from RNAcentral. Lineage: Bacteria; Bacillati; Actinomycetota; Actinomycetes; Kitasatosporales; Streptomycetaceae.